Molecule: ribosomal RNA, 1340 nt
Filed under: uncultured bacterium
Lineage: Bacteria
Description: partial 16S ribosomal RNA
Rfam family: Bacterial small subunit ribosomal RNA
Source: RNAcentral
GACGAACGCUGGCGGCGUGCUUAACACAUGCAAGUCGAACGGUAAGGCUCCAGCUUGCUGGGGUACACGAGUGGCGAACGGGUGAGUAACACGUGGGUGACCUGCCCUGCACUUCGGGAUAAGCCUGGGAAACUGGGUCUAAUACCGGAUAGGACCGCACCGUGAGGGUGUGGUGGAAAGUUUUUUCGGUGUGGGAUGGGCCCGCGGCCUAUCAGCUUGUUGGUGGGGUAAUGGCCUACCAAGGCGGCGACGGGUAGCCGGCCUGAGAGGGUGGACGGCCACAUUGGGACUGAGACACGGCCCAGACUCCUACGGGAGGCAGCAGUGGGGAAUAUUGCACAAUGGGCGGAAGCCUGAUGCAGCGACGCCGCGUGGGGGAUGACGGCCUUCGGGUUGUAAACUCCUUUCACCAUCGACGAAGGGUUUCUGACGGUAGAUGGAGAAGAAGCACCGGCUAACUACGUGCCAGCAGCCGCGGUAAUACGUAGGGUGCGAGCGUUGUCCGGAAUUACUGGGCGUAAAGAGCUCGUAGGUGGUUUGUCGCGUCGUCUGUGAAUUCCGGGGCUCAACUCCGGGCGUGCAGGCGAUACGGGCAUAACUUGAGUACUGUAGGGGAGACUGGAAUUCCUGGUGUAGCGGUGAAAUGCGCAGAUAUCAGGAGGAACACCGGUGGCGAAGGCGGGUCUCUGGGCAGUAACUGACGCUGAGGAGCGAAAGCAUGGGGAGCGAACAGGAUUAGAUACCCUGGUAGUCCAUGCCGUAAACGGUGGGCGCUAGGUGUGGGUUUCCUUCCACGGGAUCCGUGCCGUAGCUAACGCACUAAGCGCCCCGCCUGGGGAGUACGGCCGCAAGGCUAAAACUCAAAGGAAUUGACGGGGGCCCGCACAAGCGGCGGAGCAUGUGGAUUAAUUCGAUGCAACGCGAAGAACCUUACCUGGGCUUGACAUAUACAGGAUCGCGCCAGAGAUGGUGUUUCCCUUGUGGCUUGUAUACAGGUGGUGCAUGGUUGUCGUCAGCUCGUGUCGUGAGAUGUUGGGUUAAGUCCCGCAACGAGCGCAACCCUUGUCUUAUGUUGCCAGCACGUUGUGGUGGGGACUCGUAAGAAACUGCCGGGGUUAACUCGGAGGAAGGUGGGGAUGACGUCAAAUCAUCAUGCCCCUUAUGUCCAGGGCUUCACACAUGCUACAAUGGUCGGUACAGUGGGUUGCCAGUCCGUGAGGGCGAGCUAAUCCCGCAAAGCCGGUCUCAGUUCGGAUCGGGGUCUGCAACUCGACCCCGUGAAGUCGGAGUCGCUAGUAAUCGCAGAUCAGCAACGCUGCGGUGAAUACGUUCCCGGGCCU